Molecule: long non-coding RNA, 469 nt
Filed under: Homo sapiens (human)
Lineage: Eukaryota; Metazoa; Chordata; Mammalia; Primates; Hominidae
Source: RNAcentral
AGCACGGAGGCCACAGGAUCCCAGCCCGGCCUUUGUGGGACUGAGGUGGCGCUGAGUGGGAGAGCAGCAGGCGAUGCGCGAAAGGCGGGACUUGGAGAUAAAUACUGAGCACCCACAACAGGCAGCCAGCACCACUGCAGAUUGGAUACUGCAAUGAUGAUAAGCAUGGCCUGCCUUUAUGGAGGUGAUGUUAUUGUGUGGGGAGGCAGAUGGUUCUGGAUGUUCCUGUGGAUAACCUCAAGGAGCACGGGACCUGGGACAUGACUGCCCCCAGCAUUCCUUCUGGCGGCAGACAGAGUUUGUCAGUUCGCCAACAUCCUGCUUUCAUGAGAACAGUUUGCUGUUUGCUCACAGAGCCUCCAGUGGUAUACUGAGUUGGUCACGACCCUCAUUCCUUCGGCCUCCAACAUCUCCCCUUUUGUUUUUGCAUUAAUUGAAUAAAGGUAAUUUCAGGCUGUGCAGCUUUCAA